GAUGAACGCUGGCGGCGUGCCUAAUACAUGCAAGUCGAGCGAACAGAUGAGGAGCUUGCUCCUCUGACGUUAGCGGCGGACGGGUGAGUAACACGUGGAUAACCUACCUAUAAGACUGGGAUAACUUCGGGAAACCGGAGCUAAUACCGGAUAAUAUAUUGAACCGCAUGGUUCAAUAGUGAAAGACGGUUUUGCUGUCACUUAUAGAUGGAUCCGCGCCGCAUUAGCUAGUUGGUAAGGUAACGGCUUACCAAGGGAACGAUGCGUAGCCGACCUGAGAGGGUGGUCGGCCACACUGGAGCUGGGACACGGUCCAGACUCCUACGGGAGGCAGCAGUAGGGAAUCUUCCGCAAUGGGCGAAAACCUGACGGAGCAACGCCGCGUGAGUGAUGAAGGUCUUCGGAUCGUAAAACUCUGUUAUUAGGGAAGAACAAAUGUGUAAGUAACUAUGCACGUCUUGACGGUACCUAAUCAGAAAGCCACGGCUAACUACGUG
This 497-nucleotide ribosomal RNA is filed under the name uncultured bacterium. Its description in RNAcentral is "partial 16S ribosomal RNA". It matches the Rfam family "Bacterial small subunit ribosomal RNA", at positions 28 to 507 of the family's 1533-position model. The record is from RNAcentral.